This is a long non-coding RNA of Apis dorsata (giant honeybee), 825 nucleotides long. RefSeq lists it as uncharacterized. The transcript has 2 exons. The record is from RefSeq and is a predicted model, not a curated record. NCBI's taxonomy places the organism in Eukaryota, Metazoa, Arthropoda, Insecta, Hymenoptera, Apidae.
UUAAAUUUAAAAUAGUGUUCUUUAUAUUAUAUUUGUAUGUUUUAAAUGUGUACAAGUUAACAAGAAUACUGUAAAUUGUCGAAUAAUUUCUUGCAAUCUAAAACUAGCACGGUUGAUCGCAUCUGUCGCGAUUUAGAAAAUCAAUGGAAAUUAGAACGGAGGGUUUGAUUCGAAUUGCCUCGGAAUCACCAUCCCUUGUCGACUGAUUGUUGUCGGUAAUUUGCAAUAUUUGUUCCCCUGUGGGACACGAAAUUUCAUCUGGAUGCAACCACCUCUGGUCAUGUUGGAUAAAUGGGAUUCAAUUCAGGGUGAAUAUCUCUUUCCGAUCUUGUGGAGGGGAACGAUCACAGAUUAGAGGCAGAAUACGUUCAAUUAUUUUUUCCCGCUGCGUAUCGAGAUUACCUAAUGAAUAACAUAUAUAAUUGCUAUGCAAAUAAUACGUUUUGAUUCGUUUAAUGUCAUACGUAAUUAUUAUGCUCGAUAAUAAUCUAUAAAUAAUAAAUGUAACAUACAUAAUAUAAAUACAUUACUUACAUAAUAAAUAAUGAAUAACAAAAUAAUAAUUUAUUGAUAUAUAAAAAAAAAUUUGUUAUUUUUAUUAAUAAAAUCUGAUUUUUAUAACAAUUUUUGAAAAAAAAGUAAAUAUUAAUAACCAAAUGAAUUCAUAAAUAGUAAAUAAUGAGAAUAAAAUAAUUUUAUUUAAUAAUAUGAAAUUGCAAAAAAAUGUGGAACGCUUCACGAUUUUGCGUGUCAUCCUUGCGCAGGGGCCAUGCUAAUCUUCUCUGUAUCGUUCCAAUUUUAGUAUAUGUACUGCCGAAGCAAGUA